Molecule: long non-coding RNA, 404 nt
Filed under: Linum usitatissimum (flax)
Lineage: Eukaryota; Viridiplantae; Streptophyta; Magnoliopsida; Malpighiales; Linaceae
Description: long non-coding RNA (LUSI_LNC002921)
Source: RNAcentral
UAAUACUCUCUGCCAAGUAUGUUUAUCUUCGUAGUGAUGAUGGGAUCUGUUGAACUAGUGUUGUAAUGAUCUCACCCGUCUAGUUCCCAUUUUCAUAUGUACAUGAAUAGUCUUUCACUACUUCCUCCCCUCUUUUUCACUAAUUUCUCUUACUUUUACUACAUGUUGGUCUCGUUUUCGCAGGAGCAUCAAACUAGCCCACACUCACGGUUCCCUUACGUCAUUACCUAAGUUGUUCUAGGGGAUGUUGUUUAGCUAAAUGUUUCCAUUACACUGCGACGAAAAAAUAGAAAAAAAAAUAUAAAAACGUCGGGGUGCACUAGGAGGACGGAUCAAGAGGUCACUCAUUUUAGUACUACUCUCGGCCAAGUAUGUUUAUCUUUGGAGUGAUGAUGGGAUCGGGU